This 264-nucleotide ribosomal RNA is filed under the name uncultured bacterium. Its description in RNAcentral is "partial 16S ribosomal RNA". It matches the Rfam family "Bacterial small subunit ribosomal RNA", at positions 793 to 1055 of the family's 1533-position model. The record is from RNAcentral.
GUCCACGCCGUAAACUAUGGAUGCUAGCCGUCGGCAAGCUUGCUUGUCGGUGGCGCAGCUAACGCAUUAAGCAUCCCGCCUGGGGAGUACGGCCGCAAGGUUAAAACUCAAAGGAAUUGACGGGGGCCCGCACAAGCGGUGGAGCAUGUGGUUUAAUUCGACGCAACGCGAAGAACCUUACCAGCUCUUGACAUGUCCGGACGGUUUCCAGAGAUGGGAUCCUCCUAGCAAUAGGCCGGAACACAGGUGCUGCAUGGCUGUCGU